CAGUCGAGCGAGAACCGGGACUUCGGUCCCGGGGACAGCGGCGAACGGGUGCGUAACACGUGAGCAACCUUGCCCCGAAGACCGGGACAAGCCGGGGAAACCUGGUCUAAUACCGGAUGUCCUCACCGGAUCGCAUGGUCUGGUGAGGAAAUGGAUUCCGUUCGGGAUGGGCUCGCGGUCUAUCAGCUUGUUGGUGGGGUAACGGCCCACCAAGGCGACGACGGAUAGCUGGUCUGAGAGGACGAUCAGCCACACUGGGACUGAGACACGGCCAGACUCCUACGGGAGGCAGCAGUAGGAAUCUUGCGCAAUGGGGGAAACCCUGACGCAGCGACGCCGCGUGCGGGAUGAAGGCCUUCGGGUUGUAAACCGCUUUCAGCAGGGACGAAAUUGACGGUACCUGCGGAAGAAGGACCGGCCAACUACGUGCCAGCAGCCGCGGUAAUACGUAGGGUCCUAGCGUUGUCCGGAUUUAUUGGGCGUAAAGAGCUCGUAGGCGGUUCGGCAAGUCGGAUGUGAAAUCUCCACGCUUAACGUGGAGGGGCCAUUCGAAACUGCCGUGACUCGAGUCCGGUAGGGGAGUGCGGAAUUCCCGGUGUACGGUGAAAUGCGCAGAUAUCGGGAGGAACACCAGUGGGCGAAGGCGGCACUCUGGGACCGGAACUGACGCUGAGGAGCGAAAGCGUGGGAGCGAACAGGAUUAGGAUACCCUGGUUAGUCCACGCGUAAACGUUGGGCACUAGUGUGGGGCUCUAUCG
Molecule: ribosomal RNA, 758 nt
Filed under: uncultured bacterium
Lineage: Bacteria
Description: bacterial SSU rRNA
Rfam family: Bacterial small subunit ribosomal RNA
Source: RNAcentral